UNAUUCGACGCAACGCGCAGAACCUUACCAACCCUUGACAUACUUGUCGCGGAUUCCAGAGAUGGAUUCCUUCAGUUCGGCUGGACAAUGUACAGGUGCUGCAUGGCUGUCGUCAGCUCGUGUCGUGAGAUGUUCGGUUAAGUCCGGCAACGAGCGCAACCCACGUCCUUAGUUACCAGCAUUUAGUUGGGUACCCUAAGGAGACUGCCGGUGAUAAGCCGGAGGAAGGUGUGGACGACGUCAAGUCAUCAUGGCCCUUACGGGUUGGGCUACACACGUGCUACAAUGGCAUCUACAGUGAGUUAAUCUCCAAAAGAUGUCUCAGUUCGGAUUGGGGUCUGCAACUCGACCCCAUGAAGUUGGAAUCGCUAGUAAUCGCGGAACAGCAUGCCGCGGUGAAUACGUUCCCGGGCCUUGUACACACCGCCCGUCACACCAUGGGAAUUGGGUCUACCCGAAGGUGGUGCGCCAACUAUU
Molecule: ribosomal RNA, 477 nt
Filed under: uncultured bacterium
Lineage: Bacteria
Description: bacterial SSU rRNA
Rfam family: Bacterial small subunit ribosomal RNA
Source: RNAcentral